AACGCACAUUGCACCCUCUGGUAUUCUGGGGGGUAUGCCUGUUCGAGCGUCAUUGCAACCCUCAAGCACUGCUUGGUAUUGGAUGUCACUGUUGUAGUGCAUCUCAAAGUUAUUGGUAGCAGCUUUCAGCUUCUGGUGUGGUAAAUUUCUCGCCAUGGAGUUAAAUGUCCGACUACUAGAACCCCUAAUGUUUUAAAAGGUUGACCUCGGAUCAGGUAGGGAUACCCGCUGAACUUAA
This 238-nucleotide unclassified non-coding RNA is filed under the name uncultured fungus. RNAcentral describes it as "sequence contains ITS2". Lineage: Eukaryota; Fungi. The record is from RNAcentral.